This 9132-nucleotide long non-coding RNA is filed under the name Prunus persica (peach). RNAcentral's name for it is "long non-coding RNA (PPER_LNC001594)". The record is from RNAcentral. Lineage: Eukaryota; Viridiplantae; Streptophyta; Magnoliopsida; Rosales; Rosaceae.
GCCCACCUCGCUUUGAUGGAGGAGAACGCAGAUUUGGUGACAGGGAUGGGUACCGUUCAGGUCCUCGUGCACCAGGGGGUGAUUUUGGUGACAAGGGUGGAGCACCUGCUGACUACAGACCUUCUUUCGGGGUAAUAUUUCCGUUGUCAAGCAGUUUUUUUUUAUAUAUUUAUCAUUUAGGUACUAUGUCUUUUUACCAUGUAUUGGGUUGGAGAUCAAUUGCCUUCCGAUGAUAUUCUAUUCUUCUUUACAUUUUGGAAUUGUAUUCUAUCUGAUCCCAAGUACCUUGUUAAUGAGGACUUUACAAACUUAUAUACUGCCCACUUAAAUGUGUUUUAUGAUUAGAAGAUUUCCUCACUUUGGAAAAAUGAUGCAUUUGUUAACUCAUUAUGGUUCUUUCUCCCGAAAUAUCAGGGUAGUAGGCCUGGCUUUGGUCGUGGUGCCGGUGGAUCUGGUGGAGCUGGUGGUUUUGGUGCUGGCCCAGCAAGCUCUGAUCUCUCCUAAGGAAAUGGAUUACUUGGACACCGUUUGGUUUCCUAAGUUUGCAUUUAAGAACGGAUGACAUUCUGUACUUGGAGAGAAUAGCAGUUUUGUUUGACUUGCAAGAGUCUUGGGAUUGUAUUAGAUGUUUGUUUUUAUUCUAUAUGGUCUAUGAAUUGCACUUUGCAAAAUUUAUUUUCUGUUUUCUAUAUGUCGUUGAGAAAUUUCGUAUAUGACGUUUAAUAAUUAUUUUCCUGCGUUUUUUGACCGUCAUUUUUGUGCGACCUUCAGUAACAUGUCAUAGUUUUUGUCUUGGUAUUUCGAAUGGAAAAUCUGAUACUUAUCUGGUUUGAUGUGUUCCAGCAUCUGUAGUUUGUAUAAGUUUCGUAUGGUAUUGCACUUCUCAAUAGAAAAUGUUAUCAAAACACAUAAAAUGUAUGUAGCGGUCAAGCCAAGAGUAUAGCUCGUUAUUAGAGACAAUUUCUCUAAUAAUUGAGAGAUUUUGUGACUUAAAAAGAAGCAGCAGCAGAAGUAAUAAAAAAACAAAGAAGAAGAAAGAAAUUGAAACUAGUCUUGCAUGGGCACAGUGGGCAUUUGUUGGCCCAAGCCUAUUUGUGGGCUAGACUAGACUAGCUCAGCCUUCCUAAUUGGAAAGAUUGGACUUUAAAAUUACUUUUGGCUCGUCCCAAACCUGAGGUUUUAACUCAUUUUCACCCCAGCCUAGAAUUCUUGGCUUUGGUGACAAUAAAAAACAACUAUUGGGCCUAAACCCUCCAUUAGGCAUUUGCUUGAGUUUUAUUAUUUGAUGCACAAUCUCACUCAUUAUACGAAAUAUAAUAGCUAUUAAUUAAUUGAAGUGUAAUCCAAUACAAUAGGAACAUUCACAAUUAGCAUCAUCCUAAUUCGAUUUUAUCCCAAUGUUUCUACAGUUAAUUAUUUAUCUAUCUUCUCAAUGUUGAAAGAGGUCCAAAGUUUGAAAUCGCUUCCCCUAUGAAUUAGGAAAUAGCUCUUUUACAUUCUCCAACAUGAUUUAAAAAAACAUAUUUAUUUUUCAACCAACCAAAAAAAAAAAAAAUCCAAAGUGAAAAUAAUAGGCUAAGGCCAAGAACAAGGCCCAUAAACAAAACUAACACAAACAAUGCCCAUAAAAUUUGCCCCAAACCGACUACAAAUCGCAUACAUCAGAGAUUUAGGAUUUACUUCAGAGUAGACGAUAACGAGUGCGAGAGACGCCUCAACCUUCUUUGUUUGCCGCAGUCUCUUCCUCUAGUCGUCAGCUCAACUUCGCAACCAUGGUAUUUCUCUAUGCAAUUCUCUGUUUGUUUCGUGUGAAACAAUUGUUGGCACUAAAACUAAACAUAUAGAAAUAGAAGCAACUUACAGGUGACGUGGAUGGUCUAAGGACCGAUUGAGCCCUUGGUAUGAGCACGUUAUUAGGAUGUGAGGCUGGGCCUAGGCUAAGGACAGAAACAACAUAUGAGGUCUAGAGAAACAAUGUGGUACCAGCCGAAGACCUUUCAAUGCUAAAGUAAGUUACGAAAAAACUUUGCUAUUGAUAAAUGCUAGAGCAUGAGAAUCAAGUUGAAAGUCUUACCUUAUGUCUAGGGCAAGAGGCCCUAUCUAUAGAGAGUGCUUGGUAUGCUUUUAGCACUUAGUUUCGAUAUGGGACUCUUGGGAGUGUCUUAUGAGGUCGACACGAGUCUCCGCAAAAUAUCUAAAUGGGGGGGAGGGGUUCGAGGUUGUCCUGCAUAAUCGGCACAGCAUACCGAUUGUAUGUCCGAGGAACUUCUGGAACGCUUGCCGAUUAGGAGACUGACAGCUAUACUGGGUAAUGAAUCGGUCGCGGAUACCGAUUUUCAUACCUAACUGAUGUAUCAGUGGGACGCAGUGUUUCCUAGCUUCAUACUCUUUCCACGUGUUAUGAUGUAAGUGGAGCGAUCAAAUACGAUACAAACUGUAAUGAAAAAGAAAAAGAAAAGUUGGUUGUCCAUAGUUCUGAUCUGUUACAUUCAGUUUUUUCUAUCAUAGAUCAUCCCAUAGAAGAACAUGAGAGAAAUCUCCAAAUACAUAUUCCAAGGUACACACAAAAAGCUUAGAUUUUUAUUUAUUCUCAAUGAAAUUUGGUUCUUCGUUUCCAUUUUUUUUGUUAAAAUUUCUUGAAUUUAAUUUGAGUAAAGGGAGUGUGCUAUGCAAAGAAGGACUUUAAAUUGGCAAAGCACCCAGAAAUCGAUGGGCCAAAUCUGCCAGUGAUUAAGCUGAUGCAGAGCUUCAAAUCCAAGGAGUAUGUGAGAGAAACUUUCGCUUGGAUGCACUACUAAUGGUACCUAACCAAUGAUGGUAUUGAGUUUUUGAGGAACUACCUCAACCUUCCGUAUGAGAUUCUCCCUACGGCUUUGAAGAAGCAAGCCAAGCCUCCGGUCGCCCCUUGGGCCCAUCUGAUGACUGCCCACGGUAAUUAAUUUGUUUCAUCAUAUUUAUUUGUCAUUGGAUCUAUUGAUUUUUGUAACUGGGAUUGUUUCUUUGAGUGUUUUGCGAACUGGGUUUGAUUAUUUGAAUAACUUAUGGUAGCGACUUGUUACUAUGACCUUAUUUGAUGGAGUUAUGUGGUUCUUUGUUCUAAUUGUAAAUGGCUAUUCGAAUAGGUGGUUUGUGUUAUUUGGUUUGGCUAAUAAGUUAGUAUGCACAUGUAAUUUGUACAGGAAGUCGUUAAUUUGGUAACUGUGGCCUUGCUUAACUGGUUUGAUGUCUUCCAGCAUCCAUGUAGUUUGUUUGAGUUUAGUAUAGUAUCGUUCCUCUCAACAGAAAAGGUCAUAAAAAAACUUAAUGUAUUUAGCAGUUAUACCAAGAGUACAUCUCAUUAUUAGAGACAAUUUCUCUCAUAAUUGAGCUAUUUUGUGACUGAAAAAAGAAGAAGCAAAAGUAACAAAAAGAAAAAAGAAGAAGAAAGAAAAUGAAACAAGUUUUGCAUGGACACAGUGGGCUUUUGUUGGCCCAAGCCUAUUCGUGGGCUAGACUAGACUAGCUCAACCUUCCUAAUCGGAAAGAUUAUACUUGAAAAUUAUUUUUCCCUCAUCCCAAACUUGAGGUUUUAACCCAUUUUCACCCCAGCCUACAAUUCUUGGGCCUAAAGCUCCAUUAGGCAUAUGCAUGAGUUUUAUUAUUUGAUUCACAGUCUAACUCAUUAGAAGAAAUAUAGUACCUAUUAAUUAAUUGAAGUAUAAUCCAAUACAAUAUGAACAUUCACAAUUAGCAUCAUCCCAAUUCGAUUUUAUCCCAAUGUUUCUAUAAUUAAUUAAUUAUCUUUUCAACAUUGAAAGAUGUCUCAAGUUUGAAAUCACUUUCCAUUUGAAUUAGAAAAAAGCUCUUUUACAUUCUCCAACAUGAUUAAAAAAUAUUUAUUUAUUUUUCAACCAAAAAAGGAAAGGAAAAAAAAAAGAAAAAAAAGGGGGAAAAUAACAGGCUAAGGCCAAGAAUAAGGCCCAUAAACAAAACUAACACAAACAAAGCCCAUAAAAUUUGCCACAAACUGACUAUAAAUCGCACACAUAAGAGAUUUAGGGUUUACUUCACAGUAGACGAUAACGAAUGCAAGAGAAACUUCGACCUUUUUCAUUUGCCAUCAUCUCUUCCUCUAGUCGUCAGCUCAACUUCGCAACCAUGGUAUUUCUCUAUCUAAUUUUCUGUUUGUUUCCUUUGAAACUGAAAUAGAAUGAAAAUGAAAAUGAAAAUGAAAAGUUUGUUGUUCAUGGUUUUGAUCUAUUAGAUUUGGUUUUUUCUAUCCUAGAUCAUCCUAGAGAAGAACAUGAGAGAAAUCUCCAACACAUGUUCCAAGGUACACACAAAAAGCUUAUAUUUUUAUUUAUUCUCAAUGAAAUUUGGUUCAUCGUUUCCAUUUUUUUGUUAAAAUUUCUUGAAUUUAAUUUGAACAGAGGGAGUGUGCCAUGCGAAGGACUAUAACUUGGCAAAGCACCUAGAAAUCGAUGUGCCAAAUCUGCAAUGGUAAAUUAUUGCAUGUUCGUUGUUGUGCUUAUAUUUUAAGUUUAAUUGUGCAAGAUGGUUUGAAAACAAUAAAUCAAUCUGUAGCCAACAUUAGAAGUUUAGUAACCAUCUUUCAUACAUCACCGACCAAGUACCAAGUUUUUCUAACAUGUUGUCAAAAUAUAGGGUUAAAACUCAUAAAUGUUCCAUUAAAUGUGAAAACUAGAUGGAAUUCAACUUAUAAGAUGUUGGAAGUGGCUACAAAAUAUAAAGCAGCUUUAGGAUUAUUUCAAACAAAAAUCAAACAUCAACCAUUUUUAAUAGAUGAAGAUUGGGAUAUUGCAUCACUUUGGAGAGAACAUUUAGUUCAAUUUUAUGGAUCCACUGAAAUAAUUUAUGGCUCUCACUAUCCAACUAUUCUUUUAGUACUAAAAGAAAUAACUAAAAUAAAAGACAUUUGUCUUGAAAUUGAAAACAAUGAUCUUUUCCAAUAGCUUAAUGUUUGUGAUAUGAAGUCAAAAUUUGCAAAGUACUUUGGGGAUUUGCCCUUGAUUUAUGGUUUGGGUGUAAUUUUAGAUCCAACGAAUAAAACAAAAAAAAUUAGAAGUGCUUUGUGAAAUUCUUUAUGAAGGAAAUUCAAAUACAUUUGUGAAAAAGUGCUCACAACAUUAAAAGAGUUAUAUGGAGAGUAUAAAUUAUAUUUGUCUUUGCAUGAUAGAUCACAACAAGAACGAGCAGUACCUACAUCAUCUACAUCUUGCACUUCAACAUUUAGUAGAAAAAUAAGUCGUGUGGAUGACCUUUGUGAUUCUAAAAGGUUAAACACAAACAAUUUUUCAUAAUGAAUUAUCACACUAUCUUGAUUCACACACAAAUGAUCAUGAUGAAAAUAAUCCUUUAAGGGCUAGUUUGGCAUUGAUGUGCUAUGAAAAUAAUCGCUGUCAGAUUUGCUAUGAGAGAAAACAUUUUGGCGUUUGGUAAACUUUUUGUUAAAAGUGUUGUUGGUACUGAUUCCCACAUAAUCAGAAAAUGAUUGCCGCAUAAUCAUUAAACUCAGCGCCUCUUCGAAACUGAUUCCUGCAUAAUCAGAAAAUGAAGGCACUUCAUUAGCUGCUUUUCCUUAUAGCUUUCUCUAACAAUAAUUUUUAACAAUAAGUGAUUUUCUCAUAGUUUACAAAACGGGUUGGACUUCCCAAAUUUUUUUUAAAAUCAAUUAUAAUUCCAAAUAAGCAAUGCCAAACGGGAGCUAAAUAUUUAGGCAUGGUGGCAAUCACAGCAAAAAAAUUACAUUGUGCUUUCCACCAUGGCCCGUGAUAUACUAACCAUUCCAAUGUCUUCAGUUGCUUAUGAAUAAGCUUUUAGCAAAGGUGGACUUGUUAUAAGUGACCAUCGAGCAAGUUUGGCUCUAAGUAGUGUUGAAGCAUACGUUUGUGGAAGUGAUUGGAUUAAACAAGAAAAAAAAUGAAAGUCAAGAAGAAAAUGAGUGUACAAGAUGAACAAGAAUGGCCAUAGUGGUUUGUCUGAGAUGCAAAAUAAAUAUUUUCUUUUUUGAUUGUUUUGUAGUCUACUUCAAUUUUGUUUCAACAUAAUUUCAAAAUUUCAAGUAUUGUUAUUAUAUUUAACUAGCCUCUCUGCACGCGCUUCCGCGCUUGCGAGAGGUUUUUUUAAAAAAAAUAAGUAAAUUUAUUUUAGAAUUAAAAAAGAUAAUGGAUAUUUGUGUUCCAUAAAAAUAGGAUCCAUUAUCUGAAUUUUCUUUUAAUUUUAAUUUUUUAAUACGAAAAAUUAUGAAUUUACCAUAUUAUCCUCAUUUAAUUAAUAAUUUCAAUUCUUAAUGUUUGCAUUAACCAAGGGCAUUUUCUGGUAUUUUAAAUGUUUCGCUAUUCUCUGCCUUUUGCUUUAUAUAUAUAGAUUAUGAAUAUAAGAAAGAUAAUGGGUAGUUGUUAUUAUAUUUCAAGGUUUUGUUUGAAGAGUAGAGAGGCUUUUUUUAAAAAAAAAAUUAAAUUUAUUUUAGAAUUAAAAAAAGAUAAUAGGUAGUUGUUUUCCAUAAAAAUAAGAUUCAUUAUCUGAGUUUUCUUUUAAUUUUAAUUUUUUAAUAUGAAAAAGUGUGAAUUUACUAUAUUAUCCUCAUUUAACUAAUAAUUUCAAUUCUUAAUGUUUUCUGGUAUUUUGAAUGUUUUAUCAUUCUUUGUCUUUUGCUUAUAUAUAAUGAAUACUAGCCUCUCCGCACGCACUUCCGCGCUUGCGAGAGGCUUUUUUUAAAAAAAAAUUUAAAUUUAUUUUAGAAUUAAAAAAGAUAAUGGGUAGUUGUGUUCCAUAAAAAUAGGAUCCAUUAUCUGCUUUUUCUUUUUCUUUUUUAAAAUAUAAAAAAGUGUGAAUUUACCGUAUUAUCCUCAUUUAAUUAAUAAUUUGAAUUCUUAAUGUUUGCAUUAACCAAGGGCAUUUUCUGGUAUUUGGAAUGUUUCACCAUUCUCUGCUUUUUGCUUUAUAUAUAUAGAUGAAUGGAGUUUUUAAACAGAAAAAACGAAUGGAGUUUAAUAAAGCCAAAAUAAUGGCCCAUUUCAUAGGGCUAAAUAGGCCCGACUCAUUGGCCCGGUCACAAGCCCGAAAAUGUAAGGCCCAUGAGCUUUGUAUAUUUGACAUAGGACUGACCCGGGAGAAACGUUCCUUUCACUUGACGAAGUUGUUUUCAAAAUGGGUAAUUGCAACCCGAAUGUAACAUAACGAGUUCAACCAUGGGAUCAAUUUGAUGGCUAUAAAAGUGAUCCCGCACAAUUUACCCCGUAUUAUAACCGCGCCAAGCUUGGUAUAUUUGACAUAGGGCUCGAUAACUCUUUAGGGCUGAGAAGGCCCGUUACUAAGCCCGGCCCGUUUUACAAGCCUAAUAACAAUAGAACAAUCAGAGUGAGCAGUCAGUAAAAAUCAGGGCGGGAUUCUUGAAAUUAUUUUCUAACUUUCGUGAAACCUAAUUGAACUCAUAUUCUUUCCAGCCGCCUCCUCUUCACUGUUCUCUCGUCUUCUUCAUAUCUCGACUCUCAUUCAUCGAUCCCCUCUCUAUGCUCAUGAUUCACUGUUGUCAAAUCGCUUGAUUCUCCGGCUUGCUUUGCUCUCUCCUCACAAUAUCAGGUAUAUCUCAUAUUCCGUCUGUAUCUGAGAUAUGAUUUUUUCUCUGAUUUUGUCUAUAUAUGUUUAUUUGGUUUCUGGGUAAAAGUAACGUCAAAUUUUUAAUAUUUCCAUUUUGAUAAUUAUUGAUGCCAUCUCUAUUUGCUAUUUGAUGUUCCUUCUUUCUAGUUUUUCAGUUUUUUUAGUAUUUAAAUCCUAUUUGCAUUUGUUCUCUGUGGUUCAACAUGUCAUAUUCAUUGUUGUUUUUUCGGUACUUACAAUUUUCUCUUUUAUAUUCUGAGGGCUCUCUAACACAGGUAAAAGAGUUGCCUUUACUGUUUUUUGUAUAAUAUUUGCCUUCAUUGUUGUUUAUAUUCUCAUGGAUUUUCCGAAGCUUUUUUCGGCUCAUAACUCUAUUGGAUGUGGAUCUUCUGUAUUGGAAGAUAAGGAAUUUCUCUCUUUUAUUUUCUUCCUCUAGUGCGAGAGAGACCUCGACCUUCUUCGUUUGCCGCCGUCUCUUCCUCCAGUCAUCAGCUCAACUUCGCAACCAUGGUAUUUCUCUAUCCAAUUCUCUGUUUGUUUCCUGUGAAACUGAAAUGAAAAUGAAAAAGAAAAAGUUUGUUUGUUCAUGGUUCUGAUAUGUUACAUUUGGUUUUUUCUAUCCUAGAUCAUCUCAGAGAAGAACAGGAGAGAAAUCUCCAAAUACCUAUUCCAAGGUACACGCAAAAAGAUUAGUUUUUUAUUUAUUCUCAAUGAAAUUAGGUUCUUCGUUUCCAUUUUUUUGUUAAAAUUUAUUGAAUUUAAUUUGAACAGAGGGAGUGUGCUAUGCAAAGAAGGACUAUAACUUGGCAAAGCACCCAGAAAUCGAUGUGCCAAAUCUGCAGGUGAUUAAGCUGAUGCAGAGCUUCAAAUCCAAGGAGUAUGUGAGAGAAACUUUUGCUUGGAUGCACUACUACUGGUACCUGACCAAUGAUGGUAUUGAGUUUUUGAGGAACUACCUCAACCUUCCAUCUGAGAUUGUCCCUGCAACUUUGAAGAAGCAGGCCAAGCCUCCUGGUCGCCCCUUGGGCCCAUCUGGUGACCGCCCACGGUAAUUGAUUUGUUUCAUCGUCUAUAUUGGUUAUUGGAUCUAUUGAUUUUUGUAGAGUCUGGUUCUUUGUUCUAGAGUAUGUGAUAUCGAUCAUUUAGGAAGAAGUUAUUUAACUGAUUUGUGUAAGUAAACUGCGACAGAUAUGUGCUUCCUUUUCUUGUUCGUUUGUUGAACCCCUUGAUUGGUUGGAAUGUAAUGUGGAUGUUUUGAUGAUGUGAACAGCGGCCCACCUCGCUUUGAUGGAGGAGAACGCAGAUUUGGUGACAGGGAUGGGUACCGUUCAGGUCCUCGUGCACCAGGGGGUGAUUUUGGUGACAAGGGUGGAGCACCUGCUGACUACAGACCUUCUUUUGGGGUAAUAUUUCCGUUGUCAAGUAAUUUUUUUAAUAUUUAUCAUUUAGGUACUUGUCUUUUUACCAUGUAUUGGGUUGAAGAUCAAUUGCCUUCCGAUGAUAUUCUUUUCUUCUUUACAUUUUGGAAUUGUA